UAUCUACAAGUGAGGCCUUGACUGUUUUUAGUACUUCUUGAUGGUAAUUUUAUUAUACAAAAAUGAUCCAAGUGAACUUAAAAGUGAACUUAAAUCACAUUCUCACAAAUGCACAAAUCUAUGGAUAGUCAAUAAGUAUGACAGCUUUAUAGUAAAUUAUGUUGAAAGAAGACAAUUUAUAAUAAUUCAUCCACCUGUACUAUCUUUGUCAUCUCUUAUUCCUGCUAAAAUGCUUUGUGUUUCUACUAUCGCACUUCUACAUUUUGAUAAUUCUCCAUAUUUCUAGGGACUCUUGGCUUCACUUCAUCCAGCCAGCCACAGCCUUUGGCUCAGGCAUGUGAGACACAAACUUUCAGCUUAUUUUAACUUUUUACUCAUGGCCUAUCUAUGCAGUUGUUACAAAACCCUGGGCUUGGGACCUGAUCUCAUUCUGCUUUGGAAUCGUCAGGCAGGUUGGGAUUCACAUGUUUCUUAUGAAAUACAUGCUGCUUUAGAAGCAGCCUUUACCAGUCAAUAUUUUCUAAGGACAAUCUAUCUGUAAUGGUUUUCAGAUAUUAUUUCAUCUAUAUUUUGCAAAAAACAAUUUAAACUCUAUACACUUAUCCCAGAACUGACACCACCACUCAGAGCCUUGGUAUGGCCUGCUGUAUAGGACAGAGCUCAGAACAACUUCCUGAACAAAACACCCAGCUCAUUGUUGCUCAUUUAAUUUUAUGUCCUCCAAGGAUGUCAAAAGCAAAAUGACAAGAAUGAACUAGAGUUUUAUUUAUUUAUUUUGUUUGAUUGUUUGUUUGUUUUAGUGACCUUUUGAUGUCUUUAUUUCUAUAGCUAGUAAUCUGAAUGAUAGAGACCUGUCAGUCAUCUCUAGUACAAACUAAGACAGGUGCUAUGGGUCUCCAGCCCCAGUUCCUAUCCAUCUGGAACUUAUGAGCUUACAACAUUGAACACCUAUGCCUGCAUUUCAACAUUAGAAAAAUGACAGAAAUAACAGUAUUGGACAACCAGGACCCCAGGGGUAUUAAAUGAGUCAAAGUAUGUUCACAUUUCAAAAUAACGCCUGCUUCCUUGUAAGUCACACUACAUAUUAGCUGUUAUUUUUACCACUUUCAUUUGCUCUGUAUUCUCUGUAAAUUCUGCAAGAUUUUUUUAUUUCCCUCAUUUCCUUCAAUACUUCCAGUAUUAUAAUUAUUUGCUAAUUUUUGUAUAUUCUAUGUUAACAGUCUGCUAUUUCAUAUUCUUUUUCAUGAUUUAUCAGAAGAUCUGUCUGAUUUGGUAUAGUGGAUUUCAGAACUAUUGUCUUCAUUGGGAAUGCUUCAUUCCAUGGGACUAGAAUCUCUCAAAAAUUAUACAAUUUAAACAAAACUAAAAAUGAUACUGAACUGUUAUGUACAUAUUUACAUGCAUAUUAAAUAUGUAUUUGUGGGAUGCAAAAUAUUUUGUUACUGAACAACCGUGGAAGGUACUUCUGUGAAAGCAAUUAACCUGAUCAUGUGAUAAUCUUUUGUGUUGGCUAAUCCUAGUUGUUCUAUUUACCACAAAUUAAGUCAGAAGAAUUGAGAUUUUAAAACAAAGAGUUCAGUGCUUAUCUGUUAGUGAAGCAUGAGAAAUCACGGUGGCUUUGGUGAAGAGAUGGUAGGUAGUUCAUGAUUUCCAAUAUCCUUAAGGAAUUGCCUAAUAAGUUGUCUUCCUCAUUUGAACAACACUGCCAUUAUUGGCUCCUACACUGAUGAUGGCAGAAUCCAGUGUAAAUGCCUUGCCUUGUCAUGGCUGGGCUGAGAUAUAACCGUGCCCUCUGUUCAUGCUUAUCUUUGCCUUAUGAAACCAUUACAUCAUCCCGUUUUUCUUGUUCUAUCUCAUAUGUCUUUUGAAAUAUUAUGUAGUCUCACACUCAAGCUAAAAUGACAUCUCUAGUAGGAAAUUACCCUUGAUUUUAUUCAUAUGCUCCCUUCUUCAUAAGUGGGGAAACUUAUUACCAUUAUUUUAUUUAUGCUUAUGUGUCUUGUGUAGCACUUACACGCUGCCUCAACUUUAGCUGUUCUUGAACAUGUUUGAUUUCACUGGGUAUAUUAUCUCUUUGAGUGAAAGGUCAUAUUACUCCCCAGCUAUAAAUACAAUGGAAUUGAAUCUUAUAUAAGUUUUGUUUUAAAGUCAAUAUUUAAAGUUGAAAUUAUACAAUGCCAAAAAAAAAAUGCCCUGAAAAGUUCCUAAGGUAAUAGAGAGCAGGUAUUAUGAAUUACACAACUAUCCUGGGGACUGGUAUUUAGUCUCUAAGAAAGUGCACUAGAAGCUCCCCUUCUGUAUUGUAUCCAGUCACUUUCUUCUUCUUAGCCAUAGAUGAAGAAACUGGAUCUCCUUGAGAAGUCAGUGUUGUGUCGUAUGAAAAGAUCCAUGUGUCAUUAAAUAGGAAAAUCAAAUGCAGCUUAAGGGGAAGCGCAGACCGUGAGAACUGGAAAUGAAUAAGGAAACAUCACUUUAUUUUUCAAAAAUAAAUUAAGAUUUGUUGAUCUAGAGGCAGGUAUUCUAUCAGUGCUAGACUGCUUGCCUUGCAUGGGUGAAGCCAUAGCUUGAUCACCAGAGAAGAGAAUUAAGGUAAUUUUUUUUUCUCAAUUUCUGUCUAGCCACUUACUGAUCAAGGAAUGUGGUUUCUCAAGUUUUACAAGAUUUUAGACACACAUAUAGGAUGACACACACAGGCAUAAAUGGAAAUGUCAGCUAAAAAUAAAUGACUAGCUGAAAUGACUGGCUUAAAUCCUGGAUAAUAGGUGGGCACUUGACAAAAGGAUGUAGAGGCUCAGCACACACCAUUUCCUGAAGAAAUUACCACUGCUAAAAGCACAGACUUUUCCUCAAACAGUCUUCCAUUCAAGCCUGUGCUCUACAGUGGCUUGUGGCUUUUUUUUUUUUUUUUUUUGCAUCAGUUUUAGCACAAGCUAAUGGAGAUUAAAGAGAAUAUUUAUCCUUCAGAGUCUGAAAUGUGAUGUGUAGGGUUUAUCUUAUAGUAGACACCACAGCGUUUAGCUAUUAGUGUCAUUAUUAACUGUUAUAUUUACAAAGUAACUAUCUAUGAGUGAUGGCAUGGCUCUAUUGGAAGGUUAGAAGGAUUCUCUUUGGUGCUUUUGAAUGGCAUUCAGACAUGAAAUGCUUGGUUAUUUAUUUGAAUCAGGGCUGAAAUAUUUGGCUGUUUAAAGGCAGUUCUGGGAAUGAGAAGAAGGGGGCCUCUUUGAAUGAUUUUUGAAGAUGGGUUUUUGAAUUGGGUCUUUCAGGAAUAAGUGACUUCUUUGCCCAUUUUCCAUGAAUUCACAUUUUUUUUUCAUAGUAAACUCUCUUGGAUCUAAUGCAUUUUAAGUACCAUCUCUGAUUUUUAAUAAGUGCAGCCUUUAAGUCUCACUUUCUUUUUAUUUUUUCUUUUCUUUCUUUCUUUUUUUUUGGAUACUUCAGUUUUUUAAAGAAAAUACUAUUUUUUUUAACUUCUUUUUUCUUCUAAGCCCCAAGUCACUCUUUCCAGUAUCAUAAGUCUUCUUAUGACAUUGGAAAUUGACCUUGUAUCUCAUGCUUCACUAACAGACAGUCACUGAGCUCUUUGUUUUAAAAAUCUUAAUUCUCCUGACUUAAUUGGUGGCAAGUAGUACAAUGUUCUGCCUCUCACUUG
Molecule: long non-coding RNA, 3649 nt
Filed under: Mus musculus (house mouse)
Lineage: Eukaryota; Metazoa; Chordata; Mammalia; Rodentia; Muridae
Description: long non-coding RNA chr5:12401689-12405338
Source: RNAcentral